This 229-nucleotide ribosomal RNA is filed under the name uncultured bacterium. Its description in RNAcentral is "partial 16S ribosomal RNA". It matches the Rfam family "Bacterial small subunit ribosomal RNA", at positions 104 to 334 of the family's 1533-position model. The record is from RNAcentral.
CGGGGUGAGUAAUGUCUGGGAAACUGCCUGAUGGAGGGGGAUAACUACUGGAAACGGUAGCUAAUACCGCAUAACGUCGCAAGACCAAAGAGGGGGACCUUCGGGCCUCUUGCCAUCGGAUGUGCCCAGAUGGGAUUAGCUAGUAGGUGGGGUAACGGCUCAUCUAGGCGACGAUCCCUAGCUGGUCUGAGAGGAUGACCAGCCACACUGGAACUGAGACACGGUCCAG